GUCUAGUGGCCUAGGACACCUCUCUUUCAAGGAGGCGACGGGGAUUCGAAUUCCCCUGGGGGUAUUAUUAAAA
This 73-nucleotide transfer RNA is filed under the name Torrentaria sp. SH236. Its description in RNAcentral is "transfer RNA-Glu". The stretch from base 1 to 64 matches the Rfam family "tRNA", at positions 10 to 71 of the family's 71-position model. From Rfam's summary of the family: Transfer RNA (tRNA) molecules are approximately 80 nucleotides in length. Their secondary structure includes four short double-helical elements and three loops (D, anti-codon, and T loops). The record is from RNAcentral. Lineage: Eukaryota; Viridiplantae; Streptophyta; Bryopsida; Hypnales; Brachytheciaceae.